Molecule: long non-coding RNA, 305 nt
Filed under: Carica papaya (papaya)
Lineage: Eukaryota; Viridiplantae; Streptophyta; Magnoliopsida; Brassicales; Caricaceae
Description: long non-coding RNA (CPAP_LNC014388)
Source: RNAcentral
AUUUAAAACACACAUUCUUGUCCUGAAACCUGAGCAAUCCAUCGGUAGAUACUCAAAAUUCUAGAUUUACACCCUAUUCUGUAUUCUUUUUGAGAGCUACUAGAGUGGAAUUAGUCAAUUGAGCUUCCUUUAUUCUUUGAAUAUGUUCGGAUUGAACAACUAGAUGGGCCAGGCAUAUGGCCCUUUUCAAGUCUUGAAGUUGUAUCGGUUGUGGAGCCUUUAUUACCCUGCAUUUAGAAACCAAUAUGUGAGCCAACAUACCUGCAUUUUUCCUGUUGAGCACGUCGGCUGCCACAUUACCCUUG